AACUAAAAUGUGGGAGAGCCCAUUGGCUUAUAAAGGUUCUCUGAAGGCGUUUGGAUACCAGCCCCUGCCCAGCUGCUCCGUCUUCCCAUCAGGACUGACAGCCUCUGGGAAGCUCCCUAACUUCUGAAGACACAAGAAGAAAAAAGAUGGACCCUUUGAAAGUCUAUCUAAUUCUGUUUUGCUCUGGAAGGUAUGGUUUUUUAAUG
Long non-coding RNA from Suricata suricatta (meerkat), 206 nucleotides. RefSeq lists it as uncharacterized. Lineage: Eukaryota; Metazoa; Chordata; Mammalia; Carnivora; Herpestidae. The record is from RefSeq and is a predicted model, not a curated record. The transcript is spliced from 3 exons.